AAGUCGUAACAAGGUCUCCGUAGGUGAACCUGCGGAGGGAUCAUUAACAAAUUUAAUUUUCAAAAAUUAAAAAACUAAACACUUUUUAAUUUUUCAAAAUCAAAACACAACGCGAACGAAAUGACUGACCCCAUUGUCUAAGUGAAACCUAGCUUUUGUAGCUUAGCUUAGCUUAGCAGUGAGGCUUUUUUCUAAUUUAACGAAUUUCACUUCAAUUUUUUUUUCUUUUUCAAAGAAAAUCAAAAACUUAAUUAAUUAAUUUAUCAAAUGCGAGUUUGAGCGAUUAUUAAAGUUAAAUUUUAAUUUUCGAAUUUCUUUUAUUUUAUUAAAUGAAAUUCAACAAGUUAAUGUUAAAGUUAAUGUAAAGCACAACUCUUAGCAACGGAUAUCUUGGUUCUC
RNAcentral lists this unclassified non-coding RNA (399 nucleotides) under fungal sp. RNAcentral describes it as "partial internal transcribed spacer region". The stretch from base 1 to 46 matches the Rfam family "Eukaryotic small subunit ribosomal RNA", at positions 1786 to 1831 of the family's 1831-position model. The record is from RNAcentral. RNAcentral also lists the same sequence under 1 other name. Lineage: Eukaryota; Fungi.